AGAGUUUGAUCCUGGCUCAGAAUCAACGCUGGCGGCGUGCCUCAGACAUGCAAGUCGAACGCGAAAGUCCCCUUCGGGGGACGAGUAGAGUGGCGCACGGGUGAGUAACACGUAGGUAAUCUACCUCUGGGUGGGGAAUAACAGCCGGAAACGGCUGCUAAUACCGCAUAAUGCAGCGGCACCACAUGGUGACAGUUGUUAAAGCGGGGGAUCGUACCACCUCGCGCCUAGAGAUGAGCCUGCGGCGGAUUAGCUAGUUGGCAGGGUAACGGCCUACCAAGGCAACGAUCCGUAGCCGGCCUGAGAGGGCGGACGGCCACACUGGCACUGACAUACGGGCCAGACUCCUACGGGAGGCAGCAGUCGGGAAUUUUGGGCAAUGGGCGAAAGCCUGACCCAGCAACGCCGCGUGAAGGAUGAAUCUUUUCGGAGUGUAAACUUCAUAAGAAUGGGACGAAUAAGUGGGGGGAUAACACCCCCCAUGAUGACGGUACCAUUUGUAAGCUCCGGCUAACUCCGUGCCAGCAGCCGCGGUAAUACGGGGGGAGCAAGCGUUGUUCGUAUUUACUGGGCGUAAAGGGCGCGUAGGCGGCGCAACAAGUCACUUGUGAAAUCUCCGGGCUUAACCCGGAGCGGCCAAGUGAUACUGUCGUGCUAGAGUGCGGA
Molecule: ribosomal RNA, 666 nt
Filed under: uncultured bacterium
Lineage: Bacteria
Description: bacterial SSU rRNA
Rfam family: Bacterial small subunit ribosomal RNA
Source: RNAcentral